AUUAGUGAACGGAGCUACAGAGACUCACCCCUUGGCGCCUCUUUUUAAAUUUUUAAACAAUCGGUUUUUGUUAAUUCUCUCUUUUUAUCUCUUCGUUGCAGUCCUGUCCAUUGCAGAUCUCUCUCUCCCGCGAUCUCUUGUCGAGGCCAGCAGCCGCCAUUUCCUCUUCUCCGGUCACCGCCACGUCCGGACGCUCUGCCGUAAGAGGCCAGUGGGAAUACCCGUCCAUGCUUACCGUGUCGCAUACCGUCUCACACUCCCCUCGCCUCCAUCUAUUCUCUCCCUUGCUUUUGAUUUCCCAAGUGUCCCUAACUGUAGGCUUCUUGAUUUCUCUGGAGCCCAUGGCCCCCGAAGCCCCUGCAGCCUGCCUGGGAUGAGCGUCCUCUGUCCCAAAUAGUGGGCUUCUUCUCAUCAAUGCUUAAAUGUAAUAUUUUUCUGAUACUUCACGAGUUCGUGUUGAAUGUUGAAUUUUCUGAUUAAAGAUUGUGCUAUUGGGUUUACUUAUUAAGGGAUUUGAUUGUUUUCU
Juglans microcarpa x Juglans regia is the source of this 526-nucleotide long non-coding RNA. RefSeq lists it as uncharacterized. Lineage: Eukaryota; Viridiplantae; Streptophyta; Magnoliopsida; Fagales; Juglandaceae. The transcript has 2 exons. The record is from RefSeq and is a predicted model, not a curated record.